RNAcentral lists this long non-coding RNA (1024 nucleotides) under Homo sapiens (human). RNAcentral describes it as "HSALNT0314213". Lineage: Eukaryota; Metazoa; Chordata; Mammalia; Primates; Hominidae. The record is from RNAcentral.
CCUAAUACAACAAUCCACAGAAAAGUCAACGAGCCACUCCUGGAAAAUCAAGAAGCGACUGCAAUAUCCAUUCAAAACCACUGACUUGAGGGCCAGAAAGGGCUUUAAGAUUCUUCUGAACACCUCCCUUUCACAGAUGAAGAACCCAGUGGUUUGGCAGAGGUGCUCAAGCAGAAAAGCCUCCCUCAUUUCUAACCCAGCCUCCCCACUCUGUAACUGAAACCUGUAAUUUGAUCCUCAGGGGACUGGCAGGACAGAUGGUCACUAAACAUCCUUCAAGUACCAACCUUUCCCAUCACAGAAGAUGCUGGCCAGGACAUUUCUGGUUCAAAUGAAAGAUACUCUGAUAAUAUCGACAAGGCUUCAAAUUCAAACAAGUUCCAUGCGCAAGUCUGAUUAAGUCAUCCUUAUUAAACGCAGAACAAUGAGGACAGUGUCAUGGCGGGAUUCAGCACAUACAGCAUUGCCUUUAAAGCUUUCAUGUACUCAGGGAAAGCCCGAUGGAAUCCUUGUCCUUCUAUUUCAAGUCAGAGAGUGGAGGAGAAUCAGCAGACCAACUGCCAAGAAGAGAGCUCAAGGUUAAACUCUCCUGACCCAGUCCCCAUCCCAGAGGUCCCUCCUUCUGCUUUCUCUCCUGUGCCCAGCAGCAAAUUGGACAGAAAACCAUCUUCAUUUUUUAUUCCACUUUGAAGCCACCAAGUCGAAUAAUUUCUCACUGAACUCGACUCUCAGCUGGAACUUCUCCCUGCCAUUUUCUAGCAUUCAAGCUGGUUAUAAAGGAAAUUUCUUCAGAAGGAGAGUAUUGGAGGAGAUCCAUCUGAAAUAGAGAAUGGCAUACACGAAGAUCCUGUUCCAGAUUACCCAUUAGAGGAUCAUCUCCUCAGCUAAGGCAGAUGUCAUCAAACCAAAAGUCACAGAGAGGGGGGUUUGCAAAAGUAUAGCACGAUGCCAGUGAAAAAUCCAGGUGUUGUCCACACAAGCUAUAAAUGAAGGGCUCAAUUCUGUCAAUUCAAUGAAAUUCCAU